Molecule: ribosomal RNA, 253 nt
Filed under: uncultured bacterium
Lineage: Bacteria
Description: partial 16S ribosomal RNA
Rfam family: Bacterial small subunit ribosomal RNA
Source: RNAcentral
UACAGAGGUCUCAAGCGUUGUUCGGAUUCAUUGGGCGUAAAGGGUGCGUAGGUGGCGCUGUAAGUCGGGUGUGAAAUUUCGGAGCUCAACUCCGAAACUGCAUUCGAUACUGCGGUGCUUGGGGACUGGAGAGGAGACUGGAAUUCAUGGUGUAGCAGUGAAAUGCGUAGAGAUCAUGAGGAAGACCAGUGGCGAAGGCGGGUCUCUGGACAGUUCCUGACACUGAGGCACGAAGGCCAGGGGAGCAAACGGG